CGCGUGAGCAACCUGCCCUUGACAUUGGAAUAACAGUUGGAAACAGCUGCUAAUACCGGGUAUGACCUGUCACCGCAUGGUGGUGGGUGGAAAGCCUUGGCGGUCAAGGAUGGGCUCGCGGCCUAUCAGCUAGUUGGUGAGGUAAUGGCUCACCAAGGCUUCGACGGGUAGCCGGCCUGAGAGGGCGACCGGCCACACUGGGACUGAGAUACGGCCCAG
This 219-nucleotide ribosomal RNA is filed under the name uncultured bacterium. Its description in RNAcentral is "partial 16S ribosomal RNA". It matches the Rfam family "Bacterial small subunit ribosomal RNA", at positions 114 to 334 of the family's 1533-position model. The record is from RNAcentral.